CUUUAACCAUUGCUCUGCCCUGAGCUGAUUAUGUUGCUGAUACAAUGUUCCCAGAUUGAGCAGCCAUCUUGGACCAUGGUGUUGGAGCCAUGUGUCAAGAAAGCCAGCAACAACAGAAGAAGAAUCUAGGAGAGUAUGGAGACCAGAGUGGACCCAGG
Talpa occidentalis (Iberian mole) is the source of this 158-nucleotide long non-coding RNA. RefSeq lists it as uncharacterized. The transcript is spliced from 3 exons. The record is from RefSeq and is a predicted model, not a curated record. Lineage: Eukaryota; Metazoa; Chordata; Mammalia; Eulipotyphla; Talpidae.